UGAGCACGGAUGCUAAGCAAGCAAUGGAC
RNAcentral lists this non-coding RNA (29 nucleotides) under Rattus norvegicus (Norway rat). Lineage: Eukaryota; Metazoa; Chordata; Mammalia; Rodentia; Muridae. The record is from RNAcentral.